GUUUGAGUGUGAAUUUGAGAGGAUGUUUAGUACUUAGAGACAAUGCAAUGUAAUUAAAAAACUAACGACAUAAAUUUUUUGCAAAUCGAACUGAAUUGAAACUAAUUUCAGUUAAUUGGAAAAUGUUUAGCUGUAAUAAGAUAAGUAAAUAUACAAAAUAUAAGACGCAUCUGACCUAUUAGCUUUGAGCUAGCUGGUUUUUUGCUUAAAUGGCUAAAAUCAUUCCUCCAAUAUU
Molecule: unclassified non-coding RNA, 235 nt
Filed under: Hevea brasiliensis (rubber tree)
Lineage: Eukaryota; Viridiplantae; Streptophyta; Magnoliopsida; Malpighiales; Euphorbiaceae
Source: RNAcentral